AGAAUUAUAACUUCACCUACAAUAUGUAAUAUUAAACAUAUCCCAACCCUAAACCCUAGAUACUAAACCUUAUCCCAAUCACACCUCAACCCCUAAAUACUAAAUCCUAAAUUAUAAUCACUAAAUCCUUAUCCAAAUAUAAACAUUAAACUCAAAUAUAAAUUCUAACCCAAAUAGAAUAGAACAAAAUAAAUAACAAAAUACAUAUUGGUAAAAUUAUGAAAUGUCUAUGAUUGCAUGGAAGAAGUUAAUGUUGACCCUAACCAUACCCUCUCACCUUCAAAAUAUUAAACCC
This 295-nucleotide long non-coding RNA is filed under the name Brassica napus (rape). RNAcentral's name for it is "long non-coding RNA (BNAP_LNC001832)". Lineage: Eukaryota; Viridiplantae; Streptophyta; Magnoliopsida; Brassicales; Brassicaceae. The record is from RNAcentral.